CCAGCAGAGUUUGGGCUGUGGGCGAGGUGACACUUCCUGCCCUGGGGGCUGGGGUGAGAGGAAAGAUGGGUUGCUGAGUGUGCACACCUUUGAGAGCACACUCACACACACCCUGCUCCGGGGCUCCCUUCUUAGGUUGCCCCCAUGGAGUUCCCCCUGACCCAGAUAUGCCCCCAAGGGAGUCGUGAAACCCCUGCCCCAACCUUCAGCACCUUCCAGCCCUUGAACUUGACCAGCAGGAGCUGCCAGGGCCUGGGCUCACUUCCGGGGCCCAGAUUCCAGGCCCCGAAGGCAGAGGAAGCCCAGCCCAGCCCCAGGGCCCCGGCUGUCCAUGCUGUGGCCCUGGGGGCUUUCUCAAACCCAGAGAAUGCUGGGAAGGCUGAGGAGGUGCCGAGGGAAGGAGGCCAGUCCCUGCAGGCCGAGAUCCUGGCUUGGUUCCAGAAGACCCAGGCCCACUGGCUCCUGCAGCACGGGGCGGCCCCUGCCUGGUUCCACGGCUUCAUCACCCGGAGGGAGGCAGAGAAGCUGCUGGAGACCAAGCCUGAGGGAUGCUACUUGGUGCGGUUCAGCGAGAGUGCUGUGACCUUUGUACUGACUUACAGGAGCCGGACUUGCUGCCGCCACUUCCUGCUGGCCCAGCUCGGGGAUGGGCGCCACGUGGUGCUGGGCGAGGACAGCGCCCACGCUCGGCUGCAGGACCUGCUGUGGCACUACAUGGCCUACCCGCUCAGCCCCUACGGGGAGACGCUCACCGAACCCCUCGCCCGCCAGACUCCUGAACCCGCAGGACUUUCCCUAAGGACUGAAGAAUCAGACUCUGGAAACAAAAGCCAGGACCCACACCCUCAGUAUAGCCCAAUCCUCAAAAAGGAGCAGACCGCAGCUUUCACGCAGAAAGACGGUCCCGGGGAGCCAAAUGAGCCCUUCCAGCCGCCCAGGCCUAAACCUCGUGUCCCCGCUAAACCUCAGCUGCCCCCCGAAGUCUACACAAGCCCGGCUCCGCGACCCCGCCCGGCCCCGCCCCCCAAGCCCUCCAACCCCAUCUACCAGGAGCCUGACGAGCCCAUAGCCUUCUACGCCAUGGGCCGGGGCAGCCCUGGGGAAGCCCCCAGCAACAUCUAUGCCGAGGUGGACGUGAACGUCGACGUGGAGGCGCCGGCAGUGGGGGAGGGCCCGCCGUCUCUCCUCCAGCACCUGGUCCUACGGAAGUGCCGGUCCAAGCCUGUCCCAGGAAGCCAGAAUCCAGGUGGCUGGCAACUGCAUUCUGAGAACUCUAUGGCAGGACACAGCCCUCCCGCACCCCACCAGCCCCAGCCCCGCUGGGGAAACACCCUCCCCAACAACCUUUCUAGACAGGUGCUUCAGGACAGAGGACAGACGUGGCUCCCCCUGGGGCCUCCACAGUAGUUGAACCUGCAACAACUGGAGUCAAGCAUCUCUGUCCAGUCAACACUCUGCCUGGCAACCAAGGCCUUUCUUCUUGCAGUUUCUCAAACACUCCCUUCCUGCAGGAAGCCACUGCAGAAAGGGAAGACCCUGAGAAAGCAAAGAAAUCCUCUCUUUGGGGAGCUAACAGGAUUUAAGCAGAACAGACUGAAGAAUCCUGGUCCUUCAUCUGCUAGAAUUAAAACUGAAAAGCUCAAGUGGAAAACGGACAAUGAGAACUAAAAUUUGGUAUCUGAAAGGAAGACAAAUCAGCUGCCUUGGAUACCCGACCAGCCAGGUCAGCCUCAAAGACUCGGACAAGUCCAAACAGGACACCACCCAACAAUAACUUAGUCUGGGGAUGCAGUUUUGCUGUUGUGCUGACUGCAGUGUAUGUGGGAGCCGAGAAACUCAUGCCAUUUUAAAGUACAAAUUGAAGCUGUGAAAAACUGACUGGAAGGCACCAGAAUUAUGACUUCCCCCUUCUGACGUCAACAACUCCUCGCCCUAUACUGCAUUCUGGGAAUGUACAAGCACCACCCUAGAAAACAGGCUCCUCACCCCCACCCAGUUACCUCCCACCUGCUCAUCUCCCCUGGCAUAAUGAGGUGGGGAGGGCUAAGAGUUUGGCUUUCAAACAAGACCCUACCCUCAACUUCUUCCCUACAAAUAACAAGAUAGGGUAAGGGUACAAAAGGAGUUCCUGAAAAGGAGGGUGAAAAUAUGACAACAACGACGAAAGCAAGAUUUGCCGCUGAAAUCAUCAACCAGCAUGUAUACUCCCCAGGGAAAAGGCCAGGAAAGAGUCUUACUUCUGUCUGUAUCUUUGACAGCAUUUAGUACAGUAGGUUUCAAAAAGAGGUUUAGGGGCCGGACCCAUGGCGUAGUGGUUAAGUUCGGUGUGCUCUGCAACAGCAGCCCAGGUUAGUGGGUUUGGAUGCCAGGCAUGGACCUACACCACUCAUCAGCCAUGCUGUGGCGGCAACCCACAUACAAAAUAGAGGACUGGCACCGAUGUUAGCUCAGGGCUAA
This is an RNA transcript of Equus caballus (horse), 2457 nucleotides long. It is a transcript of the gene named SH2 domain containing 2A, with no coding region annotated. NCBI's taxonomy places the organism in Eukaryota, Metazoa, Chordata, Mammalia, Perissodactyla, Equidae. The record is from RefSeq and is a predicted model, not a curated record.